CUUAAAUUGAAGAGUUUGAUCAUGGCUCAGAUUGAACGCUGGCGGCAGGCCUAACACAUGCAAGUCGAGCGGAAACGAGUUAUCUGAACCUUCGGGGAACGAUAACGGCGUCGAGCGGCGGACGGGUGAGUAAUGCCUAGGAAAUUGCCCUGAUGUGGGGGAUAACCAUUGGAAACGAUGGCUAAUACCGCAUGAUGCCUAC
RNAcentral lists this ribosomal RNA (202 nucleotides) under Vibrio alginolyticus. RNAcentral's name for it is "partial 16S ribosomal RNA". It matches the Rfam family "Bacterial small subunit ribosomal RNA", at positions 1 to 183 of the family's 1533-position model. The record is from RNAcentral. Lineage: Bacteria; Pseudomonadati; Pseudomonadota; Gammaproteobacteria; Vibrionales; Vibrionaceae.